This 254-nucleotide ribosomal RNA is filed under the name uncultured bacterium. RNAcentral describes it as "partial 16S ribosomal RNA". It matches the Rfam family "Bacterial small subunit ribosomal RNA", at positions 524 to 776 of the family's 1533-position model. The record is from RNAcentral.
UACGUAGGGGGCAAGCGUUGUCCGGAUUUAUUGGGCGUAAAGAGCUCGUAGGCGGUUCGGUAAGUCAGGUGUGAAAACUCGAGGCUCAACCUCGAGACGCCACCUGAUACUGCUGUGACUAGAGUCCGGUAGAGGAGUGUGGAAUUCCUGGUGUAGCGGUGAAAUGCGCAGAUAUCAGGAGGAACACCAGCGGCGAAGGCGGCACUCUGGGCCGGUACUGACGCUGAGGAGCGAAAGCAUGGGGAGCAAACAGG